RNA transcript from Mauremys reevesii (Reeves's turtle), 2292 nucleotides. It is a transcript of the gene named CXXC-type zinc finger protein 1-like, with no coding region annotated. NCBI's taxonomy places the organism in Eukaryota, Metazoa, Chordata, Testudines, Geoemydidae. The record is from RefSeq and is a predicted model, not a curated record. The transcript has 13 exons.
GAGAAGUCAGGGCAGCGCGAGGGCAGCUGCCCCAGCGAAGGUCACUGCGCAUGCUCGGUUCGGCAGCGCAUGCUCAGUUGCGCCCAAAGCAGGGAGGUGGGGGAGGGAGUUUUCCCUGUCGUUGGUGGCCGCGAGGGGAGCGUCCAGCAUGAGGCAGAAGAAGAAAGGAGACCUCAGCCAUGCAGAGCUGAUGAUGAUGACAAUAGCUGAUAUCAUUAAACAGCUGAUUGAGGCUCAUGAGCAGGGAAGAGAUGUGAAUCUAAAUAAGCUUCUCCGAGGAAGAGGAGACACAGAAAGAAAAAGAAGAAACCGAAAGCUUUUGGACACUGCGAGGAAGAGUUGGAGGAGGCUUGUGCAUCCCUAGAGACAUGGUUGCACAGUGUCUGACUUGCCAGAAAGAGGGAAAGGAAUUAAAUCUGGAUACUACCUUGAAAAGCAUAAAGUUUAACCUGUAUAUUUGUGAAAGAUUGGGAAUAAAACGUAGCUUCACCAGCCCGUACCACCCACAAACCAAUGGCUUGGCUGAAAAUGCUAAUAAAUCCAUCAAAAGAUCCCAGAUAUGAAUACAUUCGGGGAAGAUUUCUGCAAAGAGUACAGCAUAAAUAUGAAAUUGAGACAUGAUGCUGACAUUGCUCUGGCUCUAAGUAAUAUUUCUAAAGCACAAGAAAAACAACAAAGACAUUAUGCUAAAAGAAAGACUUCUAAAUAUGGGGAAAUAACAUUUGAUGUUGGGGACUGUGUUCUGCUACUGAAUUCUAGAAAGAGAACAGGAAAAGGAGAAAUGGUGCAACCUACCUAUCGGGGACCAUACAAAAUUAUGACUGUUGAGGGUGAGAGUGAAAUUACAAACCAUCUAAUGGAAAUUGUUAGGAACCGUGUAUAGCAUCGCACACUUAAAACCAUUUAAAGAGCCACCAACAUUAGCUGCUGAAAGCGCAUCCGAUGUUUUUCUCUGAACUGAAAUUUCAGUUGGUGACAAUGAACCAGAAACACACUCAGAGUGCCAUCCACUUUUCUAAUGUCUUCUAUCUCACAAGUCUCAUGACAGCACAGUGAAAAACAUAGAGGUCACAGCAACAGAAGAAGAGGAGUAUGUAGGGCAAGAUGUUUCAAGCAAUGAUACAAGUGAUGCUGAUGACAAUUUUGAUAUGUUUAUGGAGGAGGUGGAAGACAAGCAAUGGAUUCUGAAAGUCAAACUUGUAAUGACCGGCAAACACACAGAGACUAGAGGCCAAAGUGAGAAAAAUCAAAUUGUAUGGCUCUUCAUUUCAUUGCCUGAAACCAAGAAGCUGGGUUAUUGGUGCAUAUUUGAGCCGUGUGGUCGAGAAAGCAGAUGGAAAGAGAGAAUGGAUUUGUAUGUAUGUCCAGAAACUGAAGGAAAAGAAGAAAAGCUCAUUUAUGCAGUCCGCUAAGGUACUCUCUAAAAAUUUCAGAUAGUUCAUCAAACGAUUAACUAACAAAUCCUCAUCUGAUUGGAAGAGUAAAAUUGUUCAGCAUCCCAGACAAAGUGAUGGCCACAACUGUGGACCACUCAUCUUAAAGAAGUUAGUUUGCAGAAACCUAUUUCCAGCAGAAAGACAUCAGUAUGGUAGAAACAACACAAGAGGCUAAUACUGCGUUUAGAAGACAAAGAGCAAUUGUUCUAAUGAAGGAGUCAGAAAGUGUGGAGGACUACUGCAUAUACUGCAACUUUGUCAUUUGUGAAAAGGAAAGUGAGGAUUGCACGAUGGUCCAGUGUGAUUCUUGCAAGAGGUGGGCACAUAUGCCCUGCAUUACAGAAGGAACCAAUCAAGAAAACCUGACUGAUGAGAAGAAAGAAUACAAGUGUAAAAAGUGUGCAUAGUUCACUUCUUUACCAAAAAAUAACAUUGUUUAAAUGCUUGUUGUUCAAAACAUCAUGGAACUAAAGGAAAACUCUUUCUUUAUAUACCAGAUUAUAAUAAAAAAAAUAUUCUCUGUAUUUGUGUCCCAACUAGUUGCAAAAGAGGAGGGUUGCUCUUUGUGCCACUACACUAGACCACCCCACCAGACAACUGAGGCGAGCAGCUCCCACCGUAAAGCAACACCAUCUCCGACCGCUCCGUCGUAAAAGGCCAUGCCCCCUCGCCAUGCUACCGCAAAGCAAUGCCGGGCUUAAGGUGCAUGUGUAGCAGCUACUGCCGCUCUGGCUCCUGACACGGGCAAACCAGCUGUUCUAGUUAUGGCUGAUCGCUCUGCUGGAGAAGCACGGUGUGGCCCGCCUAGAACAUCCCCGCUAGACCGCAAAGCCCAGCGAGGCAGCAACAUCCCAUC